GGAAAAAUAAUUUACUAGCUAUUUUACAAUACUCCAUAAAAAGCACUGUUUGUUCCAUCUGCAGAACUGUGCGUGACACACGGUGAACCUGCAGUUAACAUCUGUUGAAUGAAUGAAUGAAAAUGUCUGUUCUCUGAGUAUGAAGAUUUCUAUGUAAGGAACACACCUGCACACGCUGCUCCGAAGAGAAUUCACUCUGUGACAACUCACUCUGUAAAUCUGUCAAUCUGAGCACCUGUUUGAGCAUACAGUUUGAUGAAGACUGAAAUCAGUCAGGUAAAUACCACUCCUGCUAAGACCUAUAUUAACACAGUUUAAUUAGCUGUAACCUUACAAUAAUCCUGACGCAAUUGCUGGCAAACUUGCUCCAUGCUUUAAAACAUAUAACCAGUGACUCGCCCGGUGAUUCCCACAUGGAUACAUUUUCCCUCUUUACCAGUGGGGUAGUGAGAUCCAGAGGCACAGUGAUCACUGUGCCAAGAGAGCAGGGCCCCAGGGGGUGCCAGCUCUGUGGUCGCAUGCAGCCCAGCCAGAAGGAUUCACUGCAGAUUCUUUGUGGUCCAGCCUAGCUCGGCUACAAGUUCCACUAACUUGGCCAGAGGUCAAAGAUGCACACUGGUCUGGCCUUGUCCUCUGCAAGUCUUCCAUCAAGAUUAUUUCAUUUCUAGCGGCCAGUACUUUCACUUAUCAGACUUCAACACAAUCUCUCCUGCGGUAAGCUCAUUAUCUUUUGGGUCAAUAGUUUUCUUCCUACCCCUAUUUGAACCCAAAAUUCAAAGGAACCCUUCACCUUCUCUCCUCCAGGGUAACAACCCAGUUUCCUUUAGUCUUUCAUCAUAAGUCCUAAGAGAGUUAAAAUGCCAAUAAAUCUGAAGAAGAGAAUUUGAUUUCCUGAGCACUGUCACUUUUAUACUAAUAAUGCAAUAGAUAAUUCAGAGAAGAACCAGUGGAUAGGUAGAGGAGGCUUGAGUUCUCUAAAGUGCUUAGCAAGAACUUAGUACACAUUUGAGAGGAAGCCAAUUUAAAUUUGUCACAAAACAGAAUCAAUGAGUGCAGUUGAACAUAUGCAUGCUUUUAAUAAAUAUGCACAGAUCAUCUGUAUUCUCUUUUUUUGGCAAGAAGUGGAUGGGAAAAAUAAAAAUGAUUAGAGCCUUU
This is a non-coding RNA of Microcebus murinus (gray mouse lemur), 1155 nucleotides long. The record is from RefSeq and is a predicted model, not a curated record. Lineage: Eukaryota; Metazoa; Chordata; Mammalia; Primates; Cheirogaleidae.